CUGUGCUAGGUGGGGAGUUAGCGGUGCCCUGUAUCUGCAAUCCGCUAUAGCAGAACCGAAAGCCUCCCCCGGAUAUGUGCGUGGAAGGUCUGCGCUCCGCAAGGGAUGUCGAUAACAAGGUCUUAUGCAACGGGCUGCCGCGAACCGUGUCAGGACAGGGAUGUAGCAGCACUAAACGGAUUUGUCCGUGUGCCAUAAGGAAGCUUUGAAGGAGUUACCUGCGGUUUUCACGCUUCGGCGCGCAUUUUCAAAGGAGGAUGCACAG
This 265-nucleotide signal recognition particle RNA is filed under the name Candidatus Borkfalkia avicola. RNAcentral describes it as "signal recognition particle sRNA large type". It matches the Rfam family "Bacterial large signal recognition particle RNA". Rfam says of the family: The signal recognition particle (SRP) is a universally conserved ribonucleoprotein involved in the co-translational targeting of proteins to membranes. Archaeal SRP consists of a 7S RNA and homologues of the eukaryotic SRP19 and SRP54 proteins. In most bacteria, the SRP consists of a 4.5S RNA and the Ffh protein (a homologue of the eukaryotic SRP54 protein). Lineage: Bacteria; Bacillati; Bacillota; Clostridia; Christensenellales; Christensenellaceae. The record is from RNAcentral.